Molecule: unclassified non-coding RNA, 392 nt
Filed under: soil metagenome
Description: partial contains 5.8S ribosomal RNA, internal transcribed spacer 2, and large subunit ribosomal RNA
Rfam family: 5.8S ribosomal RNA (bases 1-122)
Source: RNAcentral
GAUGAAGAACGCAGCGAAAUGCGAUACUUGGUGUGAAUUGCAGAAUCCCGUGAACCAUCGAGUCUUUGAACGCAAGUUGCGCCCGAAGUCACUAGGCCGAGGGCACGCCUGCCUGGGCGUCACACGUCGUUGCCCCCCACCAUCUACUCCUUCGGGAUUGCGGGGGGCGGAUGAUGGCCUCCCGUGCGCCUAGCCGCGCGGUUGGCAUAAAUACCAAGUCCUCGGCGACGCACGCCACGACAAUCGGUGGUUGCGAAACCUCGGUUGCCCGUCGUGUGCGUUCGUCGCGCAUCGAGGGCUCGAAAAAAUGCUCGGCUCCGGCUCGGCUUUCAACGCGACCCCAGGUCAGGCGGGGUUACCCGCUGAAUUUAAGCAUAUCAAUAAGCGGAGGA